RNAcentral lists this ribosomal RNA (497 nucleotides) under uncultured bacterium. Its description in RNAcentral is "partial 16S ribosomal RNA". It matches the Rfam family "Bacterial small subunit ribosomal RNA", at positions 28 to 507 of the family's 1533-position model. The record is from RNAcentral.
GAUGAACGCUGGCGGCGUGCCUAAUACCUGCAAGUCGAGCGAAGAGAUAAGGAGCUUGCUCCUAUGACGUUAACGACGGACGGGUGAGUAACACGUGGAUAACCUAACUAUAAGAGUGGGAUAACUUCGGGACACCGAGGCUAAUACCUGAUAAUAUAUUGCACCGCAUGGUUCGAUCGUGAAAGACGGUUUUGCUGGCACUUAUAGAUAGGUCCGAGCCGCAUUAGCUAGUUGGUAAGGUAACGGCUUACCAAGGCCACGAUGCGUAGCCGACCUGAGAGGAUGAUACGACACAUCGGAACUGAGCAACGGCCGUGAAACCUAAGGUAGGAAGCAUUAGGGAGUGUUCCGCAAUGGGCGAAAGUCGUACGGAGCAACCCUGCGCGAGCGAUGACGGCUCUCGGACUCUAAAACUCUUUUAUGAGGGAUGAACCAAUGUGUAAGUAACUAUGCACGUCUUGACGGUACUUUGGCAGAAAGCCACGGCUAACUACCUC